Molecule: long non-coding RNA, 631 nt
Filed under: Parus major (Great Tit)
Lineage: Eukaryota; Metazoa; Chordata; Aves; Passeriformes; Paridae
Description: lncRNA (ENSPMJG00000016316.1)
Source: RNAcentral
AUACAAAACUGCAUGAUUUAAAAGUGUGAUAGAACAUUUACAGGUGAAUCUGACCACUGCAAGAGUAGAAUAACAAGUCAGACGAAGCAGAAGAGCAGUUUUCAUAUCCUCAGCUUUACCAGUGGGGCCUUACACACCUUUGCCAGUGAGGAAUAGGAGGAAUUGAUUGUAUAAUAUCUAUCAUAAACUCUGGGAUACACAGAUAAAAGGAACAUCAUAAGAAUAAUGACUUUUUAUUGAUGACUGCUUUGAGAUGAAAUUAAUGCAUCUUCUGUCUGCAAAGAUGAAGCAAUUUAAAAAGGAGAAUAGAACAUAUUCGGUGUUGGAGAAGGCUGGCAUGUCUGAGGUGAAGUCUGAGCAAGUUCAUUUUACUCUGUAAAUGCAUGAAAAUGUACCUCUUUUUUGGACACCAGAAGCUGACAGAAAACACUUUUCAUUCACAGUAGCAACUACUGCAACCUGAACAUCUUCCACUGUCAGCAAGAGUGAACUUACUCUUACUUGCCCACUUACUAACACCUUGCUUGGUACAAUCUCAGUGAAAAUCUCUAAUUAUGAUGUACUAAUUUACUGAAAUGCAGUAUUGCAGACAUUUAAACAAAUGAUUUCACAUUUUGUUGCAGCACCUGGC